Molecule: long non-coding RNA, 595 nt
Organism: Mauremys reevesii (Reeves's turtle)
Lineage: Eukaryota; Metazoa; Chordata; Testudines; Geoemydidae
Exons: 4
Source: RefSeq, a predicted model, not a curated record
CUAACAUACCUGCUCCUCAGUACUUUCCUGUAGCCAUCCGGCCUUGCUCCAUCACAGUUGGUAAUAGCAACUAUAUAUUUUUGUGUGUCACUACACUAACACCUAUCUUGGCCAAAAUCUCAUUUUUCAUUAAUUGCAACAAAUUCAUCUAAACUUAUGAAACAGUAAUGGAUCUGAAUCCAAAACACACCCUGUGAGAACUGAUAGUAUAAAAGAACAGAAAAUCUAUAAACACCCAAGACCAGCCCAGAAAAACUGUGAAAUAGUGGUGGUAGACACAACACCAAAGCAGUCCUUUCCCUACUGACUUCCCGCUCCCUACAAAAUCUCUCUACUGCAGAAUUCCUCUUACAGAAAAUUGCCCAGCAUGCCUUUCUGGGCAAGGCCUUUUCAGUUUGGUGGAGUGAAAGAGCUCAUGACCUAAAGUGGCCAUUUUACAAAUGACAGCUUCUAGCUGCAUCUUUCUAUCUUCCAGCUGAUGUCUCUUGCUACAUAGAGUUUAAGGGUAUGUCUACACUACCUACCGGAUCGGCAGGCAGCAAUCGAUCCAGCGGGGAUAGACGCGAUAAAUCGAUCCCUGAGUGUUCUCCCGUCG